AUUGAACGCUGGCGGAAUGCCUAACACAUGCAAGUCGAGCGAGGUGUAGCAAUACAUCUAGCGGCGGACGGGUGAGGAACACAUAGGAAUCUACCUUUUAGUGGGGGAUAACCCGGGGAACUCGGAUUAAUACCGCAUACGAUCUACGGAUGAAAGUGGGGGACCGCAAGGCCUCACGCUGUUAGAUGAGCCUAUGUCCGAUUAGCUAGUUGGUAGGGUAAUGGCCUACCAAGGCGACGAUCGGUAGCUGGUUUGAGAGGAUGAUCAGCCACACUGGGACUGAGAUACGGCCCAGACUCCUACGGGAGGCAGCAGUGGGGAAUAUUGGACAAUGGGGGCAACCCUGAUCCAGCAAUGCCGCGUGAGUGAUGAAGGCC
Molecule: ribosomal RNA, 377 nt
Filed under: uncultured bacterium
Lineage: Bacteria
Description: bacterial SSU rRNA
Rfam family: Bacterial small subunit ribosomal RNA
Source: RNAcentral